UAUAAUGUUGAAUUUUCAAAGAGUUAAUGAAUUUCUUGAUUAAUUGAAUUGUGAAUUGAUGUCAUCAUGUUGUCUGAGAUAUAUGUAUGUUAUGAAGUCAGUGUAAUUGGCCUAAGCAUGCUAAAUUAAAGAGAGUACAAGUUCUUGAUUCCUAAGUUUUGCAUUUCCAUAGAAAUGUCAAGAAACAGUCACUUUUGAGUCACACAUUUGAUGGCUAAGUGUUGUUGUAAUCCAUGAGUUGUUGCUAGAUACUAUUAAUAUAGUUAGAAACGAAAACAACGAAAGUAAAACGAACCAAUUUGGUUAAGAAACGAAUUCGUAGUGAAUGAAUUCGCUAAACUUUUCAAAACAUGAAAAUUUAGUAUGAAUAUGAGUUUUGGAUUAUUCUUUGGGUUAGUUAAUGUGUUUGAAGUGUUAUAAUAACUCUGUAGAUGGGUAGCUAAGAGUUUAACGAGUCCAACGAAUAGAAAACCAACUAAUUCGGACUUAAAAUGAGAAAGUUA
This 503-nucleotide long non-coding RNA is filed under the name Panax ginseng (ginseng). RNAcentral describes it as "long non-coding RNA (PGIN_LNC019231)". Lineage: Eukaryota; Viridiplantae; Streptophyta; Magnoliopsida; Apiales; Araliaceae. The record is from RNAcentral.